Molecule: long non-coding RNA, 363 nt
Organism: Neltuma alba
Lineage: Eukaryota; Viridiplantae; Streptophyta; Magnoliopsida; Fabales; Fabaceae
Exons: 2
Source: RefSeq, a predicted model, not a curated record
AUGGUGAAACCUAUGAGAGCGAUUCUAAAGGUUCAAGCUCAAGCAAGAGCAAGAAAUCAGAUAAUCUUGGAGAGCUUGCUGGUCAUGGCGAAACUUAUCCCUCUUCUUCUAAAACUUCAAAGUCAGGAAAGAAGAGCAAUAAAGGUGAUGUUUAAAGGUGAAUUGUUAUAGCCUAUUCAUAUGUCAGGCUUAAAGUUGGUGGGGGACUAAUGCUGGGAGGAAUAUCCAUGAAGUCUCUUAUUUUCUUUUUCCUUGUGGUUUAUUUUCAUGUACUGUUUCUUUUCCAAUUAGAUUGUCAGAUUACCGCUAAUAAAAUGCUUGUAAGUUAUGUUUUCUAUGUUAAUAAAAUAAUAGUUUGAAAAA